AGUGGGGAAUUUUGGACAAUGGGCGCAAGCCUGAUCCAGCCAUGCCGCGUGCAGGAUGAAGGCCUUCGGGUUGUAAACUGCUUUUGUACGGAACGAAAAAGUUCUCUCUAAUACAGGGGGCGAAUGACGGUACCGUAAGAAUAAGCACCGGCUAACUACGUGCCAGCAGCCGCGGUAACACGUAGGGUGCGAGCGUUAAUCGGAAUUACUGGGCGUAAAGCGUGCGCAGGCGGUUAUAUAAGACAGAUGCGAAAUCCCCGGGCUCAACCUGGGGACUGCAUUAGUGACUGUAUAGCUAGAGUGCGGCAGAGGGGGAUGGAAUUCCGCGUGUAGCAGUGAAAUGCGUAGAUAUGCGGAGGAACACCGAUGGCGAAGGCAAUCCCCUGGGCCUGCACUGACGCUCAUGCACGAAAGCGUGGGGAGCAAACAGGAUUAGAUACCCUGGUAGUCCACGCCCUAAACGAUGUCAACUGGUUGUUGGGCCUUCACUGGCUCAGUAACGAAGCUAACGCGUGAAGUUGACCGCCUGGGGAGUACGGCCGCAAGGUUA
Molecule: ribosomal RNA, 550 nt
Filed under: uncultured bacterium
Lineage: Bacteria
Description: bacterial SSU rRNA
Rfam family: Bacterial small subunit ribosomal RNA
Source: RNAcentral